Long non-coding RNA from Gasterosteus aculeatus aculeatus (three-spined stickleback), 1742 nucleotides. Lineage: Eukaryota; Metazoa; Chordata; Actinopteri; Perciformes; Gasterosteidae. The record is from Ensembl.
ACAUCACAUUACAUCACAUGUCAUUUAUCUGACGCUUUUAUCCAAAGCGACGAAUAAGAACAUUUCAACCAUAAGGACACAAACUCAGAAGAACAAGAAACAAGAAAGUGUGAUUUCAUCAAAUAAGCCGCUUUACAACUUGCUGUAGAUAAGAACCAUUAUAAGUCCAAUGUAAGUGCUGCAGGUAGUUAGUGUGUUAGUGGAGGUAGAGUCUGAAGAGGUGUGUCUUUAGUCUGAAGAUGUGAAGGCUCUCUGUGGUCCUGAUGUCUUCAGAGACCUCCUUCCACCAUUUAGGAGCAGGACAGCAAAGAGUGGAGAUCUAGUCCAGUGUUUUGCUCUCAGUGAGGAGGAACAAGCAGUUUAUCACAUGCAGAGCGGAGAGUGGUUUUGACAAACUAAGAGUUUCAAUGAUGCAAGUGGGUUUUGCUUCAGAAGACAAAGCAAAGAUAAGAGGACACACUGUCCCUCAAUUCACUGUAAUCUAGAGUCUGUCAGUCCAGCCACGAAGAAACAGCAAGAGCGAAAGACAACCAGCAAUUCAAUUAACGUAAAACAGCAGAAUCAACACACUCAGCAGACCAGCUCGGUUGAAAGAGUUCGGGUCGUGUGGAUGUCUGAAGGCCUUGUGGUGGAGUAUUGAUACAUUAUUCAAGUUCUCUCCCUCGUCUUCAUAAUGUAUUCAUCAGAUUGUUUUUGUAAUUGAUCUCCAUCAGUAUUAAAUCUGCAUAUAUACAUAUGUGUGUAUAUAUUUAUACACAUGCGUGAGGGUCUCUUUACACUUAUCUGCACUUACAUUCAAUAGUAAUACAAAAUAUAUCUAUUAUGAGCCAAAAGGAAUCCUUGCCUCUCGUUUGUUUACACGCUCCUACACUUAAAUAAGGUACGAGCGGCUGUACUUAUCGUCCAAUAAUGAAACCGUUGGUUUUGCCGGAAACCCUCGAACUGUUAUUAUUGAAGAUAAAGUAGAGCCGCUCAUAACUUAUUGCUUUCAUAACGCGUCACCAGUGAGAUUAUAAAUAGCUGCCUGUAAACACAAAGUAGUUGUAGCCACCAAACGUUGUGUCUCAUUUCAGUCGUCUACAGGAAAAUAGACCCUGCGUGUAAACAGCACCGGCUCAUCUCGUUCAUUCACACCGCUCAGGACGCCCACCUCAAUUGUCAAACCGAUCAAACCGAUCAAACUGAUCAAACUGAUCAAACCGAUCAAACCGAUCAAACUGAUCAAACUGAUCAAACCGAUCAUACUGAUCAAAAUCAUUUGUGGGAUUUCCCUUUCGGCGAUCGCCACCGAUCUAAAAGAUAAAAUGUCAACUAAGAGUCGCAGAAAGUCUCAGCUGCUCCUGUGAGUGCGCAGUGAUACGGAGCAAUCGGGUCAAUGUGAGCAGGUUCUGUACUUUAAGGCCCAAUAACGAGCCCCUCGUGACUCUCAACCAAUCAGAGCGCUGGAUUUCAUCCACCGUUAUAGCGGUAAAUACUCGUCUGAUUACGGUACAGUUGGUAGUUGCAGCCGUUUCGUUUCUGCACUCAACAAACAAACAUUAAUUAUAAAUAUUUAGUUGUAUUAAACUCGGCCACAUUAAUCGCACAGAUUAACGCUUUUAUGUUGACGGCCCUCAUACGUGUAAAUAUAUUUACAGUUAUCGUCGCACACACACACAGGAAGUGUGGACUUGUGUCCUAAUGAGGGAGCGUUUGAUAUCCCACCCCUGUGCAGCCCUGACUCAGUCUCCCGCCCUUCCCAG